Molecule: ribosomal RNA, 636 nt
Filed under: uncultured Actinomycetes bacterium
Lineage: Bacteria; Bacillati; Actinomycetota; Actinomycetes
Description: bacterial SSU rRNA
Rfam family: Bacterial small subunit ribosomal RNA
Source: RNAcentral
GAGUUUGGAUCCUGGCUCAGAAUCAACGCUGGCGGCGUGCCUAACACAUGCAAGUCGAACGAGAAAGGGACUUCGGUCCUGAGUAUAGUGGCGCACGGGUGAGUAACACGUGAAUAAUCUACCUCCGAGUGGGGAAUAACUGAGAGAAAUCUUAGCUAAUACCGCAUAACACUUACGAGUCAAAGCAGCAAUGCGCUUGGAGAGGAGUUCGCGGCCGAUUAGUUAGUUGGCGGGGUAAUGGCCCACCAAGACGAUGAUCGGUAUCCGGCCUGAGAGGGCGCACGGACACACUGGAACUGAAACACGGUCCAGACUCCUACGGGAGGCAGCAGUGGGGAAUUUUGCGCAAUGGGGGAAACCCUGACGCAGCAACGCCGCGUGGAGGAUGAAGUAUCUUGGUACGUAAACUCCUUUCGAUGGGGAAGAUAAUGACGGUACCCAUAGAAGAAGCCCCGGCUAACUUCGUGCCAGCAGCCGCGGUAAUACGAGGGGGGCAAGCGUUGUUCGGAUUUAUUGGGCGUAAAGGGUGCGUAGGCGGUUUGGCAAGUCUUGUGUGAAAUCUUCGGGCUCAACCCGAAGCCUGCACGAGAAACUACCGGGCUUGAGUAUUGGAGAGGUGAGUGGAAUUUCCGGGUG